AACGAACGCUGGCGGCAGGCCUAACACAUGCAAGUCGAGCGAGGACUUCGGUCCUAGCGGCGGACGGGUGAGUAACGCGUGGGAACGUGCCCUUUGCUUCGGAAUAGCCCUGGGAAACUGGGAGUAAUACCGGAUGAGCCCUUUGGGGGAAAGAUUUAUCGGCGAAGGAUCGGCCCGCGUUGGAUUAGGUAGUUGGUGGGGUAAUGGCCUACCAAGCCGACGAUCCAUAGCUGGUUUGAGAGGAUGAUCAGCCACACUGGGACUGAGACACGGCCCAGACUCCUACGGGAGGCAGCAGUGGGGAAUCUGCGACAAUGGGGGAAACCCUGAUCUAGCCAUGCCGCGUGAGCGAUGAAGGCCUUAGGGUUGUAAAGCUCUUUCAGCUGGGAAGAUAAGGACGGUACCAGCAGAAGAAGCCCCGGCUAACUCCGU
RNAcentral lists this ribosomal RNA (432 nucleotides) under uncultured bacterium. Its description in RNAcentral is "partial 16S ribosomal RNA". It matches the Rfam family "Bacterial small subunit ribosomal RNA", at positions 29 to 506 of the family's 1533-position model. The record is from RNAcentral.